UCGUUCUUAUCGUCAUCUCCACCGAGGGGAAUCUCUUCUCCGGGUCGACCACAGUCUUCGACACCCCGCGCUCCUCCUCCCAGUGAAGCAGAGGUCAAACAGAUGCUCCACUUUCCAGUCGGACAGGAGAGACCGGUUUGUGCUGAACAGCACGCUGUAGGUGCCAUUGAUGCAGCAGAGCCAGAUGGGCAGUUUUGGAGUUUUCAACAUACUGCCGACCUAGGAGGAAAUACGAAAUCUGAGACCAGGUCAUGAAAAGCAACAGAUCGGGAAAAAUUGGAGGAAUCUCUCAGCUCAUGCAGUGGUGGUGCUUUGGCACUCUCGAAAGCGAUCAUCUUUUCCAUCUUCACAUAUCGCGCUGGACUUGCAGGAAGCAUGGCAUCAGAGCAGGGAUUCUCCUCAGCAUGUGAGCCACAGAGGAACAAGCAAAGACUGAGGCAUGGCUAAAAAGGCAAAUGAAAGAGAAUCCACAGCCAAAAUGUCGGGUAGUUUACUCUCUUUCUUUGUACUUCCAGUGUUCUUUUCAGAUAUAUAACAUUCAAUUCCCAACUCCUUGACAGUGUGUUCGGACCCAGAAAACGAUAAAAAGAGACCCGUUCUAAACCAGUCAAAGAAUAAUAUGGUUUUCGUCAGGACAUACUGUAUUCCAAAUAGAAAAAGUUCAGGUCUUUUUGACCUAAAAGGAGUUCGGCAUCCAUGUGCUCUCCAGGUGCCUUCUUAAUAAAACAAUUAAAAGUGUCUGGUGCCGAGAUAAAAACCAAGGUUGUUUUACCAGAAUUCUGUUGUGAUUUCAACAUCGUGAUUUCCAUUGUAGGCUGGAUGGGGGUAAAAUAAGUGAGUCAGGAAACCUUAGUCCAAGUAUUUAACAAGGUAUGCCCGUGGUCCAGUCUGGUAAAGCACAGCAAAGGCUUGUUGAAACCUGGUGGAAACCACAGAAGAACCUUGUUCAAAGUGCAAAAGCCUUUCUGGUAGAUUUAUCAAGGUCUUCUAUGGAAAUAUAGAGCAACAGAACUGCAGAAGCUUAUUGGGCUGAGAGGAACUGGUGAUGGGCUGAGAGGUCUCAUUCCUCUCUUUUGCGGUCUUUCUGAGGUUCUGAUGUGAGGCAGCCCCGAAAUGACCCACAGCCAGCCACAUAUGGAAUUCUUCAAGCUGCCUUUCCACUAACUGUAGACGUCGUUAUAACCACACCGGCACCCGGUCAGCUUCUGUGGUUCUGUGGCAGAAAUAUUAACUGCGGAAGACGGGAUGCCAGAAUCAGAUGAAAUUGAUCCAGUUUUGAUAGCUGAAUUGGACCCAUGGG
This is a long non-coding RNA of Lepisosteus oculatus (spotted gar), 1300 nucleotides long. RefSeq lists it as uncharacterized. The record is from RefSeq and is a predicted model, not a curated record. Lineage: Eukaryota; Metazoa; Chordata; Actinopteri; Semionotiformes; Lepisosteidae.